Molecule: ribosomal RNA, 443 nt
Filed under: uncultured bacterium
Lineage: Bacteria
Description: partial 16S ribosomal RNA
Rfam family: Bacterial small subunit ribosomal RNA
Source: RNAcentral
CCUACGGGUGGCAGCAGUGGGGGAUAUUGGACAAUGGGGGAAACUCUGAUCCAGCGACGCCGCGUGCGUGAAGCAGUCUUUCGGAAUUUAAAGCUCUAUCAGCAGAAGAGAAAGACAUGACGGUACCUGAGUAAUAAGCGCCGGCUACCUACGUGCCAGCAGCCGCGGUCAUACGUAGGGGGCAAGCGUUAUCCGGAUUUACUGGGUUUACAGGUAGCGUAGACGGCAGUGUAAGUUGGGAGUGAAAGGCGGGGGCUUAACCCCCGGACUGCCCUGGACACUGUACGGCUGGAGUGCAGGUGAGGUAAGUGGAAUUCCUAGUGUAGCGGUGAAAUGCGUAGAGAUUAUGAGGAACACCAGUGGCGAAGGCGGCUUACUGGACUGUAACUGACGUUGAGGCUCGAAAGCGUGGGGAGCAAACAGGAUUAGAUACCCGGGUAGUC